CUUUUUUAAUUCUUCUUGUUGCUAGGCUGCCUAGAACAUGGAACAUGCUGGUGUGCUUUGUUACUAUUGUCAAGGGCAUAAUCCCAGAAGCAAUUUUUCUAAUCUUACUGGACCUUCUUUGAGGUUUUACAACUACAAGUUUGCUGGGGAGACAAUUUCUCUUGGGACUACUUUCUGUCACGUGAACAAUCGCAGCCCUGAAAAUACCCCAGCACAAGUCUGUGUGAGAGAAGUAGUCUCUUCUGGUAAAUAUCUCCUGGUAGGUCCUUCUUCACUUUUCUUCUUACAGGCUAUUCAGUGUCUUGCAGUGUUUGUUGAUAAAUGUUUAAAGUAUCCAAAGGAACUAACAAAAGACAAGAUACCAGAGGUUAGCCUUGUGUUUAUCAGUCUGCAGCUGUGCUCCAUUUUUAC
RNAcentral lists this long non-coding RNA (411 nucleotides) under Fukomys damarensis (Damara mole-rat). RNAcentral's name for it is "lncRNA (ENSFDAG00000027926.1)". The record is from RNAcentral. Lineage: Eukaryota; Metazoa; Chordata; Mammalia; Rodentia; Bathyergidae.